AUACAUGUGGAGGGCAGCAUUAUUCUCGAUGCAUCAUCUCUUGGAAUGCAGAACAACGCAAGCGAGCAAAAUGAACCUAAGGAAUUAAAUUGCGAAAAAUUUGGAUUCGACGAAAAUGUGUUUAAGCGUGUGGCAGGUACCUUCAAAACUAUUCCCAAAUUUUUAAAAAUAAACUCAUUUCACAUGCAUUUAAGACAAUGGUUUCGACUUGGAGAGCCUUUUGGUUGCAACCGAAUCGGAAAUAAACGAGUUAUUUCCAGCUUCUCUCUUAGGCACAAGGGCAAAAUUUAAGUUUCAUUUGAAUUUCUGGAGAAAGAAUGUAUGUACAAUAUAUUUGAAUGAUAACUUGAUUUAAAGCUUAAUUUUUUUUUUUAAUUAGCCACCGAAAAAUAUUUCUGAGGCAUGCAAGAACUGGAUUGAGUCAAAUUACUUAGAACCGAAUUCCAGUUCAGUACAUAGUAAUAUAAGUUCACCCUCAUCUUCACAUCGGUCCUUUGAAAAUGAUUCGAUCUUUUUCGACAACAACACAUUGAAAGAAUUGUUAAGCCAGACAGAGAGGGGUCAGAGCAUACUUAACUCCUAUGAUGAAGAAAAGCAUCACUCGGACAUACACUUGUUGAAAUCGACUAUAAUAUCCUGAAACCAAACAAUCAAUCGCAACUUUUCAAACUCUGGCCUUCAUUCAUAAAACAAAUCGUUCCCGUUAUAAAAAAACAAGUGAAGGAGAAAGGUUCAUGGACUCUAUUAAACGAUCUCGAGAGUAUUAGCGCAAGUAGGUGUAUCCUUCUUUUUAAAUACAUAUUAAUUAUUUUUAAUUUUCAAUAUUUUAUAUUGCUUCCUGCUUCCUUGCCCAUUUCAAUUUUUUCUAUCCUCAUUUGUUAAGUUCCUUUUUUUAA
Long non-coding RNA from Episyrphus balteatus (marmalade hoverfly), 896 nucleotides. RefSeq lists it as uncharacterized. Lineage: Eukaryota; Metazoa; Arthropoda; Insecta; Diptera; Syrphidae. The record is from RefSeq and is a predicted model, not a curated record. The transcript is spliced from 2 exons.